AUUGAACGCUGGCGGCAUGCCUUACACAUGCAAGUCGAACGGUAACAGGUCUUCGGAUGCUGACGAGUGGCGAACGGGUGAGUAAUACAUCGGAACGUGCCUAGUAGUGGGGGAUAACUACUCGAAAGAGUGGCUAAUACCGCAUGAGAUCUACGGAUGAAAGCAGGGGAUCGCAAGACCUUGUGCUACUAGAGCGGCCGAUGGCAGAUUAGGUAGUUGGUGGGAUAAAAGCUUACCAAGCCGACGAUCUGUAGCUGGUCUGAGAGGACGAUCAGCCACCCUGGGACUGAGAAAAGGCCCAGACUCCUACGGGAGGCAGCAGUGGGGAAUUUUGGACAAUGGGCGCAAGCCUGAGCCAGCAAUGCCGCGUGCAGGAUGAAGGCCUUCGGGUUGUAAACUGCUUUUGUACGGAACGAAAAGCCCCGGGUUAAUACCCUGGGGUCAUGACGGUACCGUAAGAAUAAGCACCGGCUAACUACGUGCCAGCCGCCGCGGUAA
Molecule: ribosomal RNA, 498 nt
Filed under: uncultured bacterium
Lineage: Bacteria
Description: partial 16S ribosomal RNA
Rfam family: Bacterial small subunit ribosomal RNA
Source: RNAcentral